UGCAGCUGUGGUGAUGAUGGUGGUGAUGAGAGCUGGAGAGGAGAGGACGCUGCUGGCCCAGGGGGUAGAAGGCUGGCCUGGGCCUGUUGCAGGUAAGAAUGGCCAGCUGUGGCUGCUGUUUCUGGGGGAUCAUGUGGUUGAUCGUGCUGCUGGUGAUUGGCUGGCCUCUGAGCAUCUUCCUGGGGGGGCUGUACGGCUUCAUCGCCCCCCUGACGGCAUGUCUGGGAAUCGACCGCCUGGCAGACCUGCUGAUGGAGGGGGCCAACCUGGGACGCACCUGUGCCCAGAACAUGCGUCACGGGAAACCACUGUGCUGAGGAACGCCUGGCGGCUAGUAUAUACUUGUGAUGAAGCUAACCUGGCGCUACACAUGCACACAAAUCUGUGCAGAGCCUCACCUUUUCCAACACACACACACACACACACACACACACACACCUACCUAUCUGACCUGAACCUAACUUCUUCCAGCAGACAUACACACAUACCUAUCUGACCUGAACCUAACUUCUUCAAGCAGACAUACACAUAUACAUUAAAAUACAGCCACAUCUGUGCAGAGUUUGGCCUGUCCCAAACCACACACCAAUACACACACAUACUGAACCUAACCAACCCCAUUACACACACAGCAUGCCUGUCCCAACCCAUACACACACACACACACACACACACUCAUGCUGAACCUAACCGAUGCCAUUACACACAACAUUCCUGUCCCAACCCACACAAACACAUAAGUUUCAUUCCUCCCCACCCCACACUUGUGCAGAAGAAGCUGAGAAUAAACACAGGUCACCUCAGAUGGUUAUGCACUGGAACAAAAUCCUCCAGAAUAUUAUUAA
Molecule: long non-coding RNA, 845 nt
Organism: Clupea harengus (Atlantic herring)
Lineage: Eukaryota; Metazoa; Chordata; Actinopteri; Clupeiformes; Clupeidae
Source: Ensembl